GAAGGUAUGCCCUCUAAGGUUAAGGACUUGCUCCGUAAGCCCCGGAGGGUCGCAGAGAAUAGGUGGCUGCGACUGUUUAUUAAAAACACAGCACUCUGCCAACACGAAAGUGGACGUAUAGGGUGUGACGCCUGCCCGGUGCCGGAAGGUUAAUUGAAGAUGUGCAAGCAUCGGAUCGAAGCCCCGGUAAACGGCGGCCGUAACUAUAACGGUCCUAAGGUAGCGAAAUUCCUUGUCGGGUAAGUUCCGACCCGCACGAAUGGCGUAACGAUGGCUACACUGUCUCCUCCCGAGACUCAGCGAAGUUGAAGUGGUUGUGAAGAUGCAAUCUACCCGCUGCUAGACGGAAAGACCCCGUGAACCUUUACUGUAGCUUUGCAUUGGACUUUGAAGUCACUUGUGUAGGAUAGGUGGGAGGCUUGGAAGCAGAGACGCCAGUCUCUGUGGAGUCGUCCUUGAAAUACCACCCUGGUGUCUUUGAGGUUCUAACCCAGACCCGUCAUCCGGGUCGGGGACCGUGCAUGGUAGGCAGUUUGACUGGGGCGGUCUCCUCCCAAAGCGUAACGGAGGAGUUCGAAGGUUACCUAGGUCCGGUCGGAAAUCGGACUGAUAGUGCAAUGGCAAAAGGUAGCUUAACUGCGAGACCGACAAGUCGGGCAGGUGCGAAAGCAGGACAUAGUGAUCCGGUGGUUCUGUAUGGAAGGGCCAUCGCUCAACGGAUAAAAGGUACUCCGGGGAUAACAGGCUGAUUCCGCCCAAGAGUUCAUAUCGACGGCGGAGUUUGGCACCUCGAUGUCGGCUCAUCACAUCCUGGGGCUGUAGUCGGUCCCAAGGGUAUGGCUGUUCGCCAUUUAAAGUGGUACGUGAGCUGGGUUUAAAACGUCGUGAGACAGUUUGGUCCCUAUCUGCAGUGGGCGUUGGAAGUUUGACGGGGGCUGCUCCUAGUACGAGAGGACCGGAGUGGACGAACCUCUGGUGUACCGGUUGUAACGCCAGUUGCAUAGCCGGGUAGCUAAGUUCGGAAGAGAUAAGCGCUGAAAGCAUCUAAGCGCGAAACUCGCCUGAAGAUGAGACUUCCCUUGCGGUUUAACCGCACUAAAGGGUCGUUCGAGACCAGGACGUUGAUAGGUGGGGUGUGGAAGCGCGGUAACGCGUGAAGCUAACCCAUACUAAUUGCCCGUGAGGCUUGACUCU
This 1194-nucleotide ribosomal RNA is filed under the name Neisseria gonorrhoeae. RNAcentral's name for it is "bacterial LSU rRNA". It matches the Rfam family "Bacterial large subunit ribosomal RNA", at positions 1742 to 2925 of the family's 2925-position model. The record is from RNAcentral. Lineage: Bacteria; Pseudomonadati; Pseudomonadota; Betaproteobacteria; Neisseriales; Neisseriaceae.